GAUAUCAGGGUCAAAAGGUCAAAAAGACGUUCGUGCUUGCACGAAAAGACUUUUGAACUUGGGACCCGCCAAACAUGAGAAAGUAGCGAUUUACGCAGUAAAUCAGCGGAUUUCGAAUGUUUGAGAAUUGUGGGAGCUGCAUUGCAGCGGAGCAAUUCGUGGAUAUC
This 167-nucleotide small RNA is filed under the name human gut metagenome. RNAcentral's name for it is "Clostridiales-1 RNA". It matches the Rfam family "Clostridiales-1 RNA". The record is from RNAcentral.